GGUUAGAGCAUCUGACUGUUAAUCAGAGGGUCCUUGGUUCGAGCCCAAGAGGGGGAGCAA
RNAcentral lists this transfer RNA (60 nucleotides) under Myroides odoratimimus CCUG 12901. RNAcentral describes it as "tRNA-Ser". It matches the Rfam family "tRNA", at positions 17 to 71 of the family's 71-position model. Rfam says of the family: Transfer RNA (tRNA) molecules are approximately 80 nucleotides in length. Their secondary structure includes four short double-helical elements and three loops (D, anti-codon, and T loops). Lineage: Bacteria; Pseudomonadati; Bacteroidota; Flavobacteriia; Flavobacteriales; Flavobacteriaceae. The record is from RNAcentral.